ACUCCCAAAAGCCUAAGAAUAGUGUAUUGCAAUCAUCAACCUUCUUUUUUACGCUUUUGGGGACGAAAUAUGAGCGUUACACAACAAAUCAACAUGCCUGAGACUGGGGAUACAAAUUCUGGCACGGGAACUUACCUUGGCACCACACCGACGCAUCUUGGUUAACAGGAGGAACGUACCAUUACGAGGAAAAAAGGGGGGAGGGGUGAUCGCAGUGGUACAGUCCAGCUAAACGCUGGAAAAAAGUCUGGGUUCAGAGCUCGCGCUUUCAGCACCACGGACAGCAACUGAAGCAGAAGCCUGAACCACUUGAUGCUGGAAGGAGCAACAUUGAAACUCCUGUCCUCCUUCAAACCCAGCAGGACUGAAUCAUCUGCUGAGAUCCUGGAAAGGAGAAGAAUGAAGACAGAACAUCUGUGAGAGACUGAGAGGAACUCCAGAGGAACAGGGAGGUUCUGGAGAGCAGAGGUGGAGAAGAUGGAGGACUUCAGGGUCUGGAGGAGGAGCCCUGCAGAUCCAGAGAGCGCACAGAGCCACAGCAUCACUCCCACCGAAGGCCGCCCAACCCAGAUCUAUUCUGGUCACAUUUUCAAAUUUUACACUCAAAGAAGAAGUCCUCAGGCUUGCAUGGCAGAACAAAGGAUUUUUGUGGAAUAUUUGAUUUUGGACCCUCCUCCCUGCACGUCUGAAAGUAUUCUAUGAAGACGGCGUCAAAACCUUCUACAGCGCAGAGGAAGUGACGGCAGACCUUUUACACUGGGGUCUAGAGGGGCGGGCCUUCAAGCUGGGAGGGAAGGAACCCCAUCGCUGCUGGAGGUCAGAUCAGCUGCAUUUAUGUUCCAGGUGAUGCUCAACCAUUUCAGUGGUUUUGUUGUUUGGUGUUUUCUUUGUUGCAAUUUUCUUUUUCCCCUUUUAUUUUGUUCCUCUCUGUGUGUUGUUAUGGGGAAUCUGUCUGUUGUUUAUCAGGUUAUACUGUGGGACCAAAUCAUACUACGUUAUGUUAAAUGAAUCAUUAAAACUGAUUUCCGUUAAUGUGGCUCUGAAUGUGGUUAAAAGAAAUAAGAUUUUAUCUAAACUAAAGAAAGAAAAGGCCCAGUUCGCAUUGCUACAGGAAACACAUAUGAAUCAAAUUGACCAUUUGAAGUUGAAAAGAAAAGGCUUUAAAUAUAUUUACUCAGCUUGUGAUAAAUCAAAACAAAAGAGGGGAGUGGCUGUUCUUGUCUCACAUUCAAUUCAUUAUGAACAUAUUUCAGAACACAGUGAUGAUGAAGGAAGAAAUGUCAAAAUAACAGGAGUGAUUGAUGGGUCUAAAGUCAGUAUAAUUAACGUGUCCUGGGAGUAACUGGGUAUUUUAUACGAAUAUUUUCGACUUGAUGUUGGAGGCUGAGGGGACGGUCAUUUGUGGAGGAGAUUUUAAUUUUAAGAUUGAUCCAAAUAUGGACUCCUGCAAACCAACUAGUCAGACUAAUCCAAUAACUGGGAAAGUUAAAUCCUAUAUGGAAGAAUUGGGGGUGAUUGAUACAUGGAGAGAAUUGUAUUCCACUACUAAAGAUUUUACACAUUACUCAGCAUUUUAUGAAGUUUAUUCUAGGUUGGAUUAUUUUUUAUAUUUAGGGUGGAUAAAAUUAAGAUUAAAGAAUGCAGCAUUCUAACCAGGGAUUUAUCUGACCAUAAUCCUGUCUCCCCACCAACUCCAAAUGACCAUGAAAAAAACGAGACAUUGUGAAAACUAAAUUCACAUCUACUCAAUCAUUCUUUGACUGUGGCUAAAGUAAAGGAGGAUAUUAAAGAUUUUUUAGAAAUAAAAGAAACAGAUGAGGUUUCCCCAGUUAUUGUAUGGGACUCAUUGAAAGCAGUAAUGAGAGGGAAACUGAUAUCAAUGACCUCACAUCUAAAAAAAAAUCUAGAGAGGAUAAACUUGCACAUCUCCAAGGAAAACUAAAACUGAAAGAACAGGAGGAUGUAAACAAUCCAACCCCCAUUGUAGAACAAGAAAUUAAAAAAAAAGUUCAAGGUGAAAUUAAUGACAUUAAUACAGAGGAAGCCCAGAGAGAUUGAAUCUUUCUGAGACAAAAAUAUUAUGAGAUAGGAGGGAAAUCAGCCAAAUACCUGGCAUAUAAAUUAUGUAAGCAACAGCAGGAAAGUACAAUUAAUAAGAUUAAAGACCAUAAAACUAACAUCUUGGAAACCACACAGGAAGGAAUACAGGAAUUCUCUCAGGCGUUCUAUAGAGAAUUGUAUUUACAACUUAAAACUAUCGAUGAGAAUUAUGCUCAUUAUUUUAUUAACUCCCUGAAUCUUCAUUUAGUAUCAGAUAUUCAAAAUGUGAAUCUAACACAACUAAUUUCGGAGGAGGAAAUCAAAGCAGCUCUCUCUAAGCUAAAACCAGGAAAAGCAGUCGGCCAAGAAGGGUUUAAUACCGAGUGGUAUCGUUGUAAGAAUGAAGAGUUAGUCCCCCCUCUAUUGAAGACAUUUAAUUAUAUCAUUCAGAAUGGAGAACCCCCCUCCCUCAUGGAAGGAAGCUACAAUCACAGUCAUUCCAAAAGAAAGGAAAGAUAGACAGGAAUGAGGGAAGUAUAGACCAAUCAGUGUUCUCAACACAGACUACAAAUUGUUUACUUCUAUUCUAACAGGGAGAUUGAAAAAGAAACUUCAGAAUCUUAUUAAUUUAGACCAAAAUAGUUUCAUUCAAAAUAGACAAACAACUGAUAACAUCAGAAGAAUAUUACAUCCUUCACGUUUAAUUUUUAAUCAACUCUUCAACAAACUCCGGUUGUUUCCUUAAGAAAUCCAAACCAGCUAAAUAGUUCUAGUAGUGGAAUAAUCCAAAACUGUGAUGGUAAAUUUCUCCACCAGAUGUCACUGUUCUUUGUUUGACUAAAGACUUGAAAAUGUCCAUGUUUUUUUGUCCAAUCAGAACUAAACUGCAACUGCAGGAAACUUUGAUCUUCUGCAGAAUCUGGAGCUGUUCAAACACUCCCUGUUACUGAGGAACAAAGACGUCCUUCAGGAAUGUGGUUCUACUGUAGAACAUUCUUCCAAACCAAAACUGCUCCUCCUCCAACGAAAAAAAAAAGUCCCAGAGUUCAUCUGGAAGAUCCACAUUCUUUCAGUCAGAUCUGCUCUCAGGAUCAGACUC
This is a long non-coding RNA of Oryzias melastigma (Indian medaka), 3139 nucleotides long. RefSeq lists it as uncharacterized. The record is from RefSeq and is a predicted model, not a curated record. Lineage: Eukaryota; Metazoa; Chordata; Actinopteri; Beloniformes; Adrianichthyidae. The transcript has 3 exons.